Molecule: long non-coding RNA, 433 nt
Organism: Scomber japonicus (chub mackerel)
Lineage: Eukaryota; Metazoa; Chordata; Actinopteri; Scombriformes; Scombridae
Exons: 3
Source: RefSeq, a predicted model, not a curated record
UAAGCAUCAGCAGCAGAGCUCCCAAGCUUGGACACCUUUUCCACUGCACUGGUCACUCUGUUGGCAUCUGAGGAAGAAAUCAGGGUUCGCAGCUGCAGGAUCACCAUGAAGAUCAUCAGGGUUCUGGUCCUUCUUCUUCUAGCAUCUGUCCCGGUCUUUACAGACGAUGGCCAACCAACUACUGCCUCACCAACGUUAAAGCCAGAUGCAACAGCAGCACCAACAAUAGCAGCAGCAGCAGGUCCAGCAACAACAGGUUGGGGGAUCUAUGGAUGGAUGGAUGGAUGGAUGGAUGAUUGAUUGAUUGAUUAAUUUAUUGAUACUUAAAAUUCUCAUAGGUUUUUUUUGUCUGCAAAACUGCAAGUAGGCUUAUUUUGCCAUGUUUCUGAAAACAGGUAUUUUCCCUUUUUUCCGUAAAAAAAUUCCUGCUCUA